GCUUGUCUCAAAGAUUAAGCCAUGCAUGUCUUAGUGUAAAUAACUCUUAUGAAACUGCGAAUGGCUCAUUAAAUCAGUUAUCAAAUACGUGAUGGUCGCCUACUACAUGGAUAACCGUAGUAAUUCUAGAGCUAAUACAUGCACAAAGGCCCACUCACGUGGGUUGUGAUUAUUAGAUUCAAACCGGCCUCGUUCUGGUGAUUCAUAAUAAUUGGUCGAACCGCAUGCCCUUGUGGUGGCGGUGAUUCAUUCAAAUUUCUGCCCUAUCAACUUUCGAUGGUAGGAUAGUGGCCUACCAUGGUGGCAACGGGUAACGGGGAAUUAGGGUUCGAUUCCGGAGAGGGAGCCUGAGAAACGGCUACCACAUCCAAGGAAGGCAGCAGG
Molecule: ribosomal RNA, 384 nt
Filed under: uncultured Cryptomonas
Lineage: Eukaryota; Cryptophyceae; Cryptomonadales; Cryptomonadaceae
Description: partial small subunit ribosomal RNA
Rfam family: Eukaryotic small subunit ribosomal RNA
Source: RNAcentral